Molecule: long non-coding RNA, 450 nt
Organism: Esox lucius (northern pike)
Lineage: Eukaryota; Metazoa; Chordata; Actinopteri; Esociformes; Esocidae
Source: Ensembl
GUUUUAGAACUCCCCAAAUUCUGUAUCUGGGUUAGAGUCCCGGGGAGUUUUGGAACUCCCCAAAUUCUGUAUCUGGGUUAGAGUCCCGGGGAGGUUUAGAACUCCCCAAAUUCUGUAUCUGGGUUAGAGUCCCGGGGAGGUUUAGAACUCCCCAAAUUCUGUAUUGGGUUAGAGUCCCGGGGAGUUUUAGAACUCCCCAAAUUCUGUAUCUGGGUUAGAGUCCCGGGGAGUUUUAUAACUCCCCAAAUUCUGUAUUGGGUUAGAGUCCCGGGGAGUUUUAUAACUCCCCAAAUUCUGUAUUGGGUUAGAGUCCCGGGGAGUUUUAUAACUCCCCAAAUUCUGUAUCUGGGUUAGAGUCCCGGGGAGUUUUAUAACUCCCCAAAUUCUGUAUCUGGGUUAGAGUCCCGGGGAGUUUUAGAACUCCCCAAAUUCUGUAUCUGGGUUAGAGUC